UACGUAGGUGGCGAGCGUUGUCCGGAAUUACUGGGUGUAAAGGGCGUGUAGGCGGGGAUGUAAGUCAGAUGUGAAAUGCCGAAGCUUAACUUCGGAGCUGCAUCUGAAACUGUGUCUCUUGAGUGUCGGAGAGGAAAGCGGAAUUCCCAGUGUAGCGGUGAAAUGCGUAGAUAUUGGGAGGAACACCAGUGGCGAAGGCGGCUUUCUGGACGAUAACUGACGCUGAGGCGCGAAAGCGUGGGGAGCAAACAGGAUUAGAUACCCUGGUAGUCCACGCUGUAAACGAUGGAUACUAGGUGUAGGAGGUAUCGACCCCUUCUGUGCCGGAGUUAACACAAUAAGUAUCCCACCUGGGGAGUACGGCCGCAAGGUUGAA
RNAcentral lists this ribosomal RNA (376 nucleotides) under uncultured bacterium. RNAcentral describes it as "bacterial SSU rRNA". It matches the Rfam family "Bacterial small subunit ribosomal RNA", at positions 524 to 898 of the family's 1533-position model. The record is from RNAcentral.